UGGUACAGCCCUCCUACCCUGAACAAGCCUGAUCCUGUCUGAUCUUGGAAGCUAAGCAGGGUUGGGCCUGGUUAGUACUUGGAUGGGAGACCACCUAGGAAGACCAGGUGCUGUAGGUG
This 119-nucleotide ribosomal RNA is filed under the name Pteropus alecto (black flying fox). Lineage: Eukaryota; Metazoa; Chordata; Mammalia; Chiroptera; Pteropodidae. The record is from RNAcentral. RNAcentral also lists the same sequence under 1 other name.